Molecule: long non-coding RNA, 724 nt
Filed under: Heterocephalus glaber (naked mole-rat)
Lineage: Eukaryota; Metazoa; Chordata; Mammalia; Rodentia; Bathyergidae
Description: lncRNA (ENSHGLG00000026181.2)
Source: RNAcentral
CUCCCUACUCAGCCGCCUUGAGGGUCCCAAGCGUCCCGGUCUCUGGCCUGGACCCACUGGGCUAAGGGCGCCCAGGCCAGCUCAGGGUGAUCCUGCAGGAGUCUCUGGAGACAAGGGCGAGCCUGUGCUCGGCUGCCAGGGACGUCCCCCCGGGAUGAGCCCCGAGCUAUCCCCGCGGCCCUGGGCCAGGCUGCCCCGCGGGGCGCUGGGACCUGACCGGGCAGGGACCUCUGAGACUCCGGAGACCUGCGCGCUUGGACAACAGGAGCCAGAAGACCCAGCAGACAUGAGUGAAAACAGCUGCCUGCACAAGUUGUCCCCUAACAGGUACAGCCAAGAGUCAGAAGCACAGAGGGAGCUGGGGAAGCGACAUUUCUUACAGAGCCCACUGCUGUCCCUGUGUGAAGUGGCUCAUAUCAGGUUUUUGUUAAUCCAGUGGGUUUGGUGGAAUUAAAGAGCUGCUGUGAAAAAAAAAAAACAACUCAGCAACCUGCUGGUGCCAGAACAGCCUUGUCAAGCUAGCAGGUAGCUGUGCGUUUAGCCUUUAUCCUGCACACAAUAAGGCCAAUCACCAGGGCCUGUAGAAAGAGCAUUGAACUGUCGACACAGGACAUUUCUGUUGAAAGUAGUCCUUUUGAUUUCAUCUUCCUGAACUAAUGUAAUCAAAGCAGACAUUAUGGAACACAUUCAUCUCGGUUUGAUAGAGACCAUCAUGAAUGUCCAG